This 189-nucleotide non-coding RNA is filed under the name Halobacillus naozhouensis. RNAcentral describes it as "6S RNA". It matches the Rfam family "6S / SsrS RNA". From Rfam's summary of the family: E. coli 6S RNA was the first non coding RNA to be sequenced, but its function was unknown until recently. It consists of 184 nucleotides that fold into an extended hairpin structure with a large single-stranded internal bulge. The 6S RNA specifically associates with RNA polymerase holoenzyme containing the sigma70 specificity factor. Lineage: Bacteria; Bacillati; Bacillota; Bacilli; Caryophanales; Bacillaceae. The record is from RNAcentral.
CCAAUCCUGAUGUGUACGUUGUUCGAAUGUACGUUUUGACCGAACAUUUUUGAGACGGGAGCUUGGAGUUUCCGCAUGGAAUGCAAGCCUCAUUACUAUAAUGAGAGGACGCAAGAAGUGCGGAGCAGGGCACCCACCUGCCUGGAGCGGGUUCAAAACUCAUGAUACAACGGCACAAUUGGGAUUGGU